ACGGACCGCACGAACGUUAUUCGGUAUCACUGGGCUUAAAGGGUGCGUAGGCGGCUUUGCAAGUUGGGUGUGAAAGCCCUCGGCUCAACCGAGGAAUUGCGCUCAAUACUGCCGAGCUCGAGAGAGACAGAGGUAAGCGGAACUAAUGGUGGAGCGGUGAAAUGCGUUGAUAUCAUUAGGAACACCGGUGGCGAAGGCGGCUUACUGGGUCUUUUCUGACGCUGAGGCACGAAAGCCAGGGGAGCGAACGGGAUUAGAUACCCCGGUAGUCCUGGCCGUAAACGAUGAGCACUGGAUCGAAGUUCCCCUCACAGGAUUUCGGUCGUAGCGAAAGUGUUAAGUGCUCCGCCUGGGGAGUAUGGUCGCAAGGCUG
RNAcentral lists this ribosomal RNA (373 nucleotides) under uncultured bacterium. RNAcentral's name for it is "bacterial SSU rRNA". It matches the Rfam family "Bacterial small subunit ribosomal RNA", at positions 525 to 896 of the family's 1533-position model. The record is from RNAcentral.